AAUGCCUAGGAAUCUGCCUGGUAGUGGGGGAUCACGUUCGGAAACGGACGCUAAUACCGCAUACGUCCUACGGGAGAAAGCAGGGGACCUUCGGGCCUUGCGCUAUCAGAUGAGCCUAGGUCGGAUUAGCUAGUUGGUGAGGUAAUGGCUCACCAAGGCGACGAUCCGUAACUGGUCUGAGAGGAUGAUCAGUCACACUGGAACUGAGACACGGUCCAGACUCCUACGGGAGGCAGCAGUGGGGAAUAUUGGACAAUGGGCGAAAGCCUGAUCCAGCCAUGCCGCGUGUGUGAAGAAGGUCUUCGGAUUGUAAAGCACUUUAAGUUGGGAGGAAGGGUUGUAGAUUAAUACUCUGCAAUUUUGACGUUACCGACAGAAUAAGCACCGGCUAACUCUGUGCCAGCAGCCGCGGUAAUACAGAGGGUGCAAGCGUUAAUCGGAAUUACUGGGCGUAAAGCGCGCGUAGGUGGUUUGUUAAGUUGGAUGUGAAAUCCCCGGGCUCAACCUGGGAACUGCAUUCAAAACUGACUGACUAGAGUAUGGUAGAGGGUGGUGGAAUUUCCUGUGUAGCGGUGAAAUGCGUAGAUAUAGGAAGG
Molecule: ribosomal RNA, 596 nt
Filed under: uncultured bacterium
Lineage: Bacteria
Description: bacterial SSU rRNA
Rfam family: Bacterial small subunit ribosomal RNA
Source: RNAcentral